RNAcentral lists this small RNA (805 nucleotides) under Cyanoboletus pulverulentus. RNAcentral's name for it is "eukaryotic LSU rRNA". The stretch from base 207 to 361 matches the Rfam family "5.8S ribosomal RNA". Lineage: Eukaryota; Fungi; Basidiomycota; Agaricomycetes; Boletales; Boletaceae. The record is from RNAcentral.
GAUCAUUAUCGAACUUUGAGGGGGGGGAGGGGAAGGCUGUCGCUGGCUCUCUCGAGCAUGUGCACGUCUUUCUUCUCUCUCGCAAACCCCUACUACACCUGUGCACCCAUUGUAGGCUCUCGAAAGAGGAUCUACGUAUUUCAUACAACACCCACUUUGCAUGUCCAUAGAAUGUAAUCAGUAGGAUUCGUCCUACGAAAUCAUACAACUUUCAGCAACGGAUCUCUUGGCUCUCGCAUCGAUGAAGAACGCAGCGAAUUGCGAUAAGUAAUGUGAAUUGCAGAUUUUCAGUGAAUCAUCGAAUCUUUGAACGCACCUUGCGCUCCUUGGUAUUCCGAGGAGCAUGCCUGUUUGAGUGUCAACGAAUUCUCAACCAUGCCUUUGUCGAAAGGGCAUGGCUUGGACUUUGGGAGCCUUGCUGGCCUUUUCGGUCAGCUCUCCUGAAAUGCAUUAGCGAUGGGUGGCUAGGACGUGCACGGCCUUCGACGUGAUAAUGAUCGUCGUGGCUGGAGCGUCUUUAUCCUCGCUCACAAUCCACACUAGCCUUGGGUUAGCUUUUGGCUAUUAGUUCGGUCGCGAGACUUGACGAACGUCGGAGGAUUUUCUCUUGGCUGGUCGAUUUCGAAACUUGACCUCAAAUCAGGUAGGAUUACCCGCUGAACUUAAGCAUAUCAAUAAGCGGAGGAAAAGAAACUAACAAGGAUUCCCCUAGUAACUGCGAGUGAAGCGGGAUGAGCUCAAAUUUUGAAUCUGGCGGUCUUUGGCCGUCCGAGUUGUAAUCUAGAGAAGCGUCUUCCGCGCUGGA